GGAAUUCGAUUUUCCGGUUGAUCCUGCCGGACCUGACUGCUAUCGGAUUGAUACUAAGCCAUGUGAGUCAUUGUAGCAAUACAAGGCAGACGGCUCAGUAACACGUAGCCAAUCUAACCUAUGGACGGGGAUAACCUCGGGAAACUGAGGAUAAACCCCGAUAGAUCAUUAUGCCUGGAAAGGUUUAUGGCCCAAAUGAUUCGUCGCCGUAGGAUGAGACUGCGGCCUAUCAGCUUGUUGGUGAGGUAAUGGCCCACCAAGGCUAUAACAGAUACGGGCUCUGAGAGGAGAAGCCCGGAGAUGGGUACUGAGACACGGACCCAGGCCCUAUGGGGCGCAGCAGGCGAGAAAACUUUGCAAUGUGCGAAAGCACGACAAGGUUAAUCCGAGUGUUUUCUGCUAAAGAAAUCUUUUGUUAGUUCUAAAACCACUAUCGAAUAAGGGGUGGGCAAGUUCUGGUGUCAGCCGCCGCGGUAAAACCAGCACCUCAAGUGGUCAGGAGGAUUAUUGGGCCUAAAGCAUCCGUAGCCGGCUAUGUUAGUUUUCGGUUAAAUCCAUGUGCUCAACAUAUGGGCUGUCGAGAAUACUGCAUAGCUAGGGAGUGGGAGAGGUAGACGGUACUCGAUAGGAAGGGGUAAAAUCCUUUGAUCUAUUGAUGACCACCAGUGGCGAAGGCGGUCUACCAGAACACGUCCGACGGUGAGGGAUGAAAGCUGGGGGAGCAAACCGGAUUAGAUACCCGGGUAGUCCCAGCUGUAAACUAUGCAAACUCAGUGAUGCAUUGGCUUGUGGCCAGUGCAGUGCCGCAGAGAAG
This 814-nucleotide ribosomal RNA is filed under the name uncultured archaeon. Its description in RNAcentral is "bacterial SSU rRNA". It matches the Rfam family "Archaeal small subunit ribosomal RNA", at positions 1 to 811 of the family's 1478-position model. The record is from RNAcentral.